RNAcentral lists this ribosomal RNA (210 nucleotides) under uncultured bacterium. RNAcentral describes it as "partial 16S ribosomal RNA". It matches the Rfam family "Bacterial small subunit ribosomal RNA", at positions 568 to 775 of the family's 1533-position model. The record is from RNAcentral.
CGCGUAGGCGGUCAGCACAAGUCAGUUGUGAAAUCUCCGGGCUUAACUCGGAAAGGUCAACUGAUACUGUGCGACUAGAGUGCAGAAGGGGCAACUGGAAUUCUCGGUGUAGCGGUGAAAUGCGUAGAUAUCGAGAGGAACACCUGCGGCGAAGGCGGGUUGCUGGGCUGACACUGACGCUGAAGUGCGAAAGCCGAGGGGAGCGGAACG